RNAcentral lists this long non-coding RNA (340 nucleotides) under Mytilus galloprovincialis (Mediterranean mussel). The record is from RNAcentral. Lineage: Eukaryota; Metazoa; Mollusca; Bivalvia; Mytilida; Mytilidae.
GACACCGCUCCAUCCAAGUCAAAAUUUGUAAAAGCAAACCAUUAUAGGUCAAAUAACGGUCUCCGACACGAAGCUGUGGCUCACACCGAACAUAAAGCUAUAAAAUGCACAAAAAGUGUUUUUUUGUUUUUACAUAGUUUGCAAACCAUGAAAGAGGAGGAUAAUCAAGGGUAUUAUAAAUACGACUAAAAUGGAUAAAAACCUAGCAAAAUGAAAAAAAAAAGAUUAAAAAAAGAAAUAGGGAUCGGUUACCUGACAAUACUUUUUAAUUACCAAACAAACUUCAAUUUACAGUUCCUUGAUUUUUUUAUAUGUUUACGUUGUGAUACGAAUAACACCC